RNAcentral lists this ribosomal RNA (253 nucleotides) under uncultured bacterium. Its description in RNAcentral is "partial 16S ribosomal RNA". It matches the Rfam family "Bacterial small subunit ribosomal RNA", at positions 524 to 776 of the family's 1533-position model. The record is from RNAcentral.
UACAGAGGGGGCGAGCGUUGUUCGGAAUUACUGGGCGUAAAGGGCGCGUAGGCGGCCUUCUAAGUCAGACGUGAAAUCCCUCAGCUUAACUGGGGAACUGCGUCUGAUACUGGAUGGCUUGGAUCCGGAAGAGGGAUGCGGAAUUCCAGGUGUAGCGGUGAAAUGCGUAGAUAUCUGGAGGAACACCGGUGGCGAAGGCGGCAUCCUGGGCCGGUAUUGACGCUGAGGAGCGAAAGCCAGGGGAGCAAACGGG